Molecule: long non-coding RNA, 916 nt
Filed under: Homo sapiens (human)
Lineage: Eukaryota; Metazoa; Chordata; Mammalia; Primates; Hominidae
Description: HSALNT0370509
Source: RNAcentral
GGAAAACGCUCUUCUGAGAGGAUCUGUGGAGGUCAACCCAGGAGAGAGAAGACAGGACUGAAGCACUGAAAGGGUCCUGCCGUUAAGGGCGCAGGAUUGUAUAGAAUAUAUAAUAGCAGUAGCAGCUCUGUUUACGGAGCAUUAACCUUACGUGGAGUUAUUUCCUGCAUUUCCUCCUUUCGUCUUUACAAGGUAGCCGUUUGGCGUCGUGAGAGAUUGGGUCUCUCCACAUUGCCCCGGCUGCUCUCCAACCCCUGAGUUCAAGUGAUUCACCUCCCUUGGCCUCCCAAAGUACUGGGAUUACAGGCGUGAGCCACCGUGCCUGGCUGAGAAGAUGGAUUUAAGACAUAUUUUGGAGGUAACAUUGUCAGGACUUCCUGAAGGAUUAGAUGUGGAAGGGAAGGAUAAGAAACAGACCAAGGAUAACUUUCAAAUGUAUGCUUAAGCAACUGGAUGGAUAAUGAUGCCAUUGAGUGAGUGAAAAACUUGAUGGAAGUGGAAGAUUCAGAGUUCAUUUCUAUCUAGGUUAAUUUGAGACAUACCAGAGCAUAAGUUAAGUAAGUAAUUGAAUAUUGGAGUGGAGACUUAUUUGUCUACCGAAUUAUUGUUUUCUUUGUCGGACAUACACCUACACUGCAUUCCUCAAAGUAAAAUUUAAGUGUGGCUCUGUGCCUAUGCUCUCCCCAGCGGAAAGUGACCAGAAGAGGUGUGCAGUUUCCAGGCCUGGCCCAUACAGACCUCCAACAGGUGCUCCCCUGUGCUGUUACUCCUUCUGCCAACUGGAAGCAGAUGGUGACCAGGCUCUGGAGAAGGCAAGGCCUGAAGAUGGGAGAUUCCUAAGUGGAGGAGAACUGUGCCUUACUGACCUAAAUAUCCACUCAGUAUUGUUAUGUGAGAAUAAAUAAACUUGUGUUGA